RNAcentral lists this unclassified non-coding RNA (228 nucleotides) under uncultured fungus. RNAcentral's name for it is "sequence contains ITS1, 5.8S rRNA gene". The stretch from base 180 to 228 matches the Rfam family "5.8S ribosomal RNA", at positions 1 to 49 of the family's 154-position model. The record is from RNAcentral. Lineage: Eukaryota; Fungi.
UCUCCGUAGGUGAACCUGCGGAGGGAUCAUUAAUGAGUGAGGGGGCCACCCCCAACCUCCAACCCUUUGUGAACGCAUCAUGUUGCUUCGGGGGCGACCCUGCCGUUCGCGGCGUGGGGCCCCCGGAGCCCAUCAAACCCUGCGUAACUAAGUCGUCGGAGUUUAAACAAAUUAAACAAAACUUUCAACAACGGAUCUCUUGGUUCGGGCAUCGAUGAAGAACGCAGC